RNAcentral lists this ribosomal RNA (740 nucleotides) under uncultured bacterium. RNAcentral describes it as "bacterial SSU rRNA". It matches the Rfam family "Bacterial small subunit ribosomal RNA", at positions 108 to 849 of the family's 1533-position model. The record is from RNAcentral.
GAGUAACGCGUAUCCAACCUGCCCACCACUUGGGGAUAACCUUGCGAAAGUAAGACUAAUACCCAAUGACGUCUCUAGAAGGCAUCUGAAAGAGAUUAAAGAUUUAUCGGUGAUGGAUGGGGAUGCGUCUGAUUAGCUUGUUGGCGGGGUAACGGCCCACCAAGGCAACGAUCAGUAGGGGUUCUGAGAGGAAGGUCCCCCACAUUGGAACUGAGACACGGUCCAAACUCCUACGGGAGGCAGCAGUGAGGAAUAUUGGUCAAUGGACGAGAGUCUGAACCAGCCAAGUAGCGUGCAGGAAGACGGCCCUAUGGGUUGUAAACUGCUUUUAUAAGGGAAUAAAGUGAGUCUCGUGAGACUUUUUGCAUGUACCUUAUGAAUAAGGACCGGCUAAUUCCGUGCCAGCAGCCGCGGUAAUACGGAAGGUCCGGGCGUUAUCCGGAUUUAUUGGGUUUAAAGGGAGCGUAGGCCGGAGAUUAAGCGUGUUGUGAAAUGUAGACGCUCAACGUCUGCACUGCAGCGCGAACUGGUUUCCUUGAGUACGCACAAAGUGGGCGGAAUUCGUGGUGUAGCGGUGAAAUGCUUAGAUAUCACGAAGAACUCCGAUUGCGAAGGCAGCUCACUGGAGCGCAACUGACGCUGAAGCUCGAAAGUGCGGGUAUCGAACAGGAUUAGAUACCCUGGUAGUCCGCACGGUAAACGAUAGAUGCCCGCUGUUGGUCUGAAUAGGUCAGCGGCCA